AACGAACGCUGGCGGCAUGCCUAACACAUGCAAGUCGAACGAGACCUUCGGGUCUAGUGGCGCACGGGUGCGUAAGGCGUGGGAACCUGCCCUUAGGUUCGGAAUAACUCCCCGUAAGGGGUGCUAAUAUCGGCUAAUGUCUUCGGACCAAAGAUUUAUCGCGUUUGGGUGGGCCCAGGUUGGUUUAGCUUGUUGGUAGGGUAAAAGCCUACCAAGGCUACGAUCCAUAGCUGGUCUGAGGGGAUGAGCCGCCACACUGGGACGGGGACACGGCCGAGACUCCUACGGGAUGCAGCAGUGGGGAAUAUUGGACAAUGGGCGAAAGCCUGAUCCAGCAAUGCCGCGUGAGUGAUGAAGGCCUGAGGGUUGUAAAGCUCUUUUACCCGGGAUGAUAAUGACAGUACCGGGAGAAUAAGCACCGGCUAACUCCGUG
Molecule: ribosomal RNA, 433 nt
Filed under: uncultured bacterium
Lineage: Bacteria
Description: partial 16S ribosomal RNA
Rfam family: Bacterial small subunit ribosomal RNA
Source: RNAcentral